This 417-nucleotide ribosomal RNA is filed under the name uncultured bacterium. RNAcentral describes it as "bacterial SSU rRNA". It matches the Rfam family "Bacterial small subunit ribosomal RNA", at positions 355 to 787 of the family's 1533-position model. The record is from RNAcentral.
UGGGGAAUAUUGCACAAUGGGGAAGACCCUGAUGCAGCGACGCCGCGUGGAGGAAGAAGGCCCUCGGGUUGUAAACUCCUGUCUUUGGGGACGAUAAUGACGGUACCCAAGGAGGAAGCCACGGCUAACUACGUGCCAGCAGCCGCGGUAAAACGUAGGUGGCAAGCGUUGUCCGGAAUUACUGGGUGUAAAGGGAGCGCAGGCGGAGCGGCAAGUUGGAGGUGAAAAACCCAUGGGCUCAACCCAUGAAUUGCCUUCAAAACUGUCGGUCUUGAGUGGUGUAGAGGUAAGCGGAAUUCCCGGUGUAGCGGUGGAAUGCGUAGAUAUUGGGAGGAACACCAGUGGCGAAGGCGGCUUACUGGGCACUAACUGACGCUGAGGCUCGAAAGCAUGGGUAGCAAACAGGAUUAGAUACCC